RNAcentral lists this ribosomal RNA (559 nucleotides) under uncultured fungus. RNAcentral's name for it is "eukaryotic LSU rRNA". The stretch from base 217 to 371 matches the Rfam family "5.8S ribosomal RNA". Lineage: Eukaryota; Fungi. The record is from RNAcentral.
UCCGUAGGUGAACCUGCGGAAGGAUUAUUAAUGAGUUAGGGUCUUUUAGGCCCGACCUCCUAACCCUAUGUUUACUGAACCUUUGUUGCUUCGGCGGGCCCGUCUCACGACCGCCGGGGGACCGUAAGACGUCCUCUGGCCCGUGUUCGCCGGUAGCCAAAUUUAACAUUCUGAUUAAAAUGUGUCAUGUCUGAGUACAAUUUUUAAUUGAAGCAAAACUUUCAACAACGGAUCUCUUGGUUCUGGCAUCGAUGAAGAACGCAGCGAAAUGCGAUAAGUAAUGCGAAUUGCAGAAUUCCAGUGAGUCAUCGAAUCUUUGAACGCACAUUGCGCCCUUUGGUAUUCCGAAGGGCAUGCCUGUUCGAGCGUCAUUAUCACCCUUCAAGCCCCCGGGCUUAGUGUUGGACGGUUUGGUUUUGGUGACAAGACCCCUUCUAAAAUUAAUGACGGCGGCCUGUUCGACCCCCCGGUACACUGAGCUUUUUAACUGAGCACGUAUCGGUCUCAGGGUAGACAGGACCCGGUCUUCUUCCUUAACCGGAAAAUUUUUCCAAAAAGG